CGAACACGAUGUUUGCAAAGUUCAUCUAUGCUGUGGCGUGAUUAGCUCUCCAUUUCUUUUUGUUGAUGAAUAGCGUUCCACGGUGUGGAUAUCCAUGUUUAUCUGCUUGUCAGCCAAUAGACCUCUGGGCUGUCCCCACCUCUUGUCUAGGCUGAACCGCUGUCUUUCUGGAAAGAAUCUUCCCCGCCUGCCCUCCUAGUGGGUUGGUGGCUUUAAGUGAGGGCAGCACGGAUGGCAGAGAGCCCAAGCACUCCUAGCUUCUAAGACAGGCCAAUGGCAAUCACUUCCCCAACCUGCAAUUUUGGCUCAGGCCAGGGAGGGGCGCGGCCUGGGCCCUGGAGCCAGACCACCGGGGCAGCCAGAGGGGGAGGACUGGUGAGUUCAGAAGCAGGAAAAACAGAUGUCACAGCCCUCUCCUCCACAAAACCCGUCUCCACAGUCAGCACUGUUGCCCCAAGGAACAUUGUGUUGUGACCUGGAUCACAAGACAGGAGUUCUGGUUCUCUUUGAAUUCUGAGCACCUAAGCAGCAGAAAUUCCUGGAUGGGUUGGGAAGAGGGGGAAGAUGUUCCCCCCACCCCAGAGAUGUUAGUGCCUGCCAGGGACAAACUAUCCCAGACAGAGAGCCCCUGGCGGGGCAGCCCGACCCAGUACCCUUGGGCCUUGAGGCUCAUUUGGAAUUGGCAGCUGGCGUCCCAGAGGGGCUCUGGCCCCCACAUGGGAUCUGUGUGUGUGCCUGGAGCCUGUGGUGAGCGGGAAUUAGAGUGACCCAUGUCGCCACUGUGACCCAUGUCGCCGGCGGGGCUUGCUGUGCUCAGCAGCGGGGGUGGCCAGGCAGGCUGUUUCUGGAAAAAAUCACCCUGCUCAUUACAGGCUUCGGGUGGGCUCCCAAGGGUCAAGUUGGGUUUGUUUGCCUGUCUUGGGAGUCGAGGAAACUGUGGCCCUUUUGCUGCUGGUUCAGCAGAAGCAAGGCUCCAAGAUGGUGUCGAUGUGCUGCCAAGGACAGUAGCAGAUGGCAACCUAGGGUUGAGAAGGAAGAGGGUGUGGACUGAGAAUGUGGGCUGGAGAAGGUCAGAGGGUCUCCUACAAAACACAGAGGGACCCACCUAGCUGACAUGUUGUAACAGCACAACGGGUGCCGGGUACACCGAGCAAGCAUGGUGGCUGGUUUUGUCUCUUUCUAUGCAGGGAAAGUGGAGACUCAGAGUGUUUAAGUGACCUGCCUAAGGCACGGAGCUGGCAGCAGAGGUUGGCCCACACCCCAGCUUCCGACUGUCGCUCUCUUCUACAGGUUCAUCGUUAAUAAAACUUGGUUUUCCAGCAUUUCGCUGCCCCAGGAGGGCAGUGGGCCCCCUGUCCAAUUCAUCAACUGCCUAAUGAGCGGCCCCGGAGGUCCCGGCCCGUCCAUUCCAGAAGCUCUCUCUGCCUUGUAAAGAGAAGGACCAGUACAAGGGGAAGUGGGUGCUGCUAGUGUUCUGGCCCAGGGUCUGGAUUCUGUCCUCUUCUGGAACAAUUUUUGUCGCCUCCCCCCGCACCACCCCCCAGCAGGCUCUCUUGCCUUCGCCAGCUUGUCAGGACGCUGCCAGCUUUGGGCGUGGCACCCCGUCAGCCCCAGCAUGGUGGGAGAGCUGGGAUCUGAGCCCACGAGCUCGGGGACACAGCCGCCCACCUCGAGCCCAGAAGAGCAGGAGCGCAGAGGGGCGGUUAUGCUUACGGUGCCUGCAGGACAAGACAAAGUGGAAAGCUGCUCUUUGUCACCCACCCGGCCCCGAUGGCAGCUAACAGACCUCAUCCACACAAUUGGCUGGGACUCGACUCCCUUGUAACACCAGGUCCCUCUUCUGCAGUCUCUGUGCACUCGUGGAGGAGCAGUGUGGAGGGUCUCUGAGGCCAGGGGGAGCACCAGCAUCAGCCAGCACCUCCGUUCUUCGACAGAGGGAAGACGCGAUUGCGUGGCUCUCAGCAGUGACAUCAGAGUGUCCACGUGCCCCCGACCGUGUGCCCCAGCUGUAUGCAUCCUCCUGGUUCCUGUCAGGCAUGUGUUGGGGGCUCAGAGUCCACAUACGGACGACCACAGCAACCACAGCAGCUGUUCUGACGGGGCUUGGAGGGAGUGGGCCCCGCUCACGCCCACCCCUUGAAGCCCCUCAACCUAGGGCCGGGCUUUCUCAGUUUCCCGUUGCUUUUCCAGGUACUCAGAGCAUGGCUCUGGUGCAGGAUUUCUCCUGGAAAGGGGCCGCUGCUGUCGCCGGGCACUCGAGGUCUCCUGAAAUACACUUUGAAGGGUUUUUGUCUUGUUUUGUUUUCCCCACUCGACACCCUUGAAUGAAGUAGGCUGUUGGCCUUCCCACAGAAGGAUUUCCCAUUAUCCUGUGCACUUGCAAGGGGCAAAAGCCCAGCAAGCAGAGGUAGCAUACGGGGUUCUCAUCACGCGUUCCUUCUGGUCUCAACUGCCCCCAAAAUGCUGCAGCUUUUGCCCCUUCUCAGUAACUAAUCCCCCACUGCAUUCCCCACCCCCUUGGACCAGCCCACCCCAAGCUGCUCACAUUGAAAGGAGCAUUCAUGCUUGGGCCAUCUGUUUGUUUAAACUCACCCCAUGCGAGGCCAUGUUAAAUGCAACAGAAUGGAGAAAAAUGUAAUUCUCUGUCGGCUUUUGAUCAAAGCGAGGACUUUUAAAAAAAUUCAAGAUGGAUUUCUGAAGGACAAUGUGGUACACAUUCCUUGUGUUUCUGAGCUGCGGUGUUUAGUUGAUUUGGGGAAAAAAAAUCCCCCCCCCCCCGCCUUUUGAUCCCAUGGAGAAAACACUCUCACAAACACAUCUCAGCCCCACAAACAUUGCAAGACGGCGGGAGGGUGGAAGGGUACGGCCUUCUCAUUUAUCAACAACACAGGAGAAUUCGGAAUACGACUCACUGCAACAUGCAAGCCCUCUCCUUCUGUGGGAAUUCAAGGCGACAUCCCUGCCACCUCAGGACCCAGGAUGCUUGCCCCGCACCCAGAAACACACGUCUUGGCUCACCCCUCCAGCUCUGUCGCCACCAACCAUUAAGAGUACAUUUCUCCCUGGCUCCUUCAGCCUCCCAGCAAAUGCAAAUAAAAAGUGCUUAAAAUGGUUAACAUUUCCUGUCACUGAAGGCAUUCGUGAGGGGUGGGGGUCGCUGAGUUUUAAGUGUAUUUUCAUAGGAAAACUCAUUUCAGAUCUGCAGCAGGGACUCGGACAACUCGCACAGAGUCUCAGGGUCUGCAGGGAGCCCGAACACUGAGUCGGCCGAUGGUCCUCCACAUUAUGUGGGUACAGGAGAGCGGGUACCCAGGUUCACACUUAGGCCCGCCCGGGGCCCCUCUCCGGUCUCACAGGGAAAAAUAAAAUAGGCUCUUUCCCACCAUCCUCCCGGUUAUUCAUUUUCUUUUCCUCUAUUGGAGAGAAAAAAACCCCCCCAAAUUUGGCAAUUUAUUUUGUUGUGUUUCCUCUAUUGAUUGUUUAGCUAGUGAUUUUGCCAACUUCCUGGAUGUUCAUUUCUGGUCCUGCACAAAAGAGCCACAUUUCCUUUUGGAACUGGGACCAGGAGACAGAGCAGCAGGCACUGGAAAUUGUGAGUACUCCCCAACUUUCUUCCAGCUUCGCUCUGACCCUGUCUGUCCGUCUGGCCUGCCUCCCGAAUCUUUCUCUAACCAGUUAACUUUCUGUGUGGCUCCCUGCGAACCCCUCCGUCAGCCCAUAGCAGCACUCUGACUUUCAGGAAGGGAGCCCCUACCAUGUCUGUAGGAACCUCGGAUGGGAAGGGGAGGGGAGUGUGCUUACCAACGGAGGACUUCAGUUCUCAUUUUAAGGCUCCGAAAGAUGGUGAAAGCCAACAGAAGCAGGCUGGUUUAUUUCAGGGCGAACAGUGAGUCCCUACUGAAUUUACCUCAUAAAAUGAAUUUUUAAAUUUUCAUUUUCUCAUUUCAUUCCAGCAGAAAAUGAGUUUGCCUUUAUAAUGUCCAGAUCUUUCGAACUCUAUGGAGUGAGAAAUUAAGUUACAAAAUGUAAAUACCUUGGUUAUACCCCCAUAUAUAUAUAUGAAAUGAAUAUAUAUAUGAAAUGAAGUAAUUCCUGACUGUAAUGCAAUAGCAAGCCUGAUUUUAGGCUCCUAGGACACUUUAAAAAAUUUUAUGACGUGUAAUAAAGAAAAAUUAGGUUUGGUAAAAAUGUUUCUUUUUAAAAAUGGGUGCAAUAAUAAAUUCAAUUGUAUUUCUCAUUUAACAUAAAUUGUUUAUUUUUUAAAAUCUUCUGAACGUCUUUGUCUAAUGUUGGGAGGACUGUAAAAAAAAUGUUAAUAUUCUAGGCCACAAUUGACUUCUUUCCAUGAAACUAUUCUAAUGCGUGUGGACAAUUGUAAAGCAAUGCAGUUCUCUUGUGAAAGGAAUACCCUGCCUUUAAUUAAAAGCAAUUAAUGCUCAAAUUUCAAGGCAAAUCCACUGAUCAGUUAGGGGCAUGGAGAAGGAGAAAAGCAAGCCUGCUAUUUCCAUAAGAAAGUCCAGAAAUCAACAUCGUACAGAUGUACAAUCGGAACGUGAUUAUAUUUAAAGGAAAAGUUAUAUAAGCUUCAAAAAUGGUCGUUGUUUUGCUUAAGUGCCUGAAAAAAGGAUUCAGAAUAAUAUUUGGAUUAUCCCAGUUUUGUGCUCUUGUGUUCAUGGAGCCUUGUCAGGUUAAAGAACCCCAAUGACAAGGGGGGCACGAGUAUGCAUAUGUAUGUCUCCCCUAUGUCCCCAACUUGGGGAAGUGUGGGGAGGGAAAGGUGGGUGCUGACCACUGGAAAAGUAAACCUUCACCCCAGAAAUUCAUAAUUAAUCUAAAACUCUCAGAUUAAACAUAGCAAUGCUCUCAUCUUCCUUCACCUCCUCAAUUUGGGGGUUGCAGCGCAGGGCGAUGGGCUAGAGAAUUUUUGAAAUUGCUGCAGACCAGAGGUGUGCCGAAAGGCUGCGGCGCUGUCCUGUGCGUCUGCCUAGAGUAUCCUGUCCUCAUCCUCCUGGCCGUGGGGCUAUGGCGCUGCGCGACUUCGACAUAUUUUGCAAGCUUUCUAGUUGGGAUUGCUGGAGCAGAAAGCUUGGCGGCCUUACACAGCUUCCCUUGCUGCCCAGCAGAUGGCGAUGUUACUUCUGGAGUGGCCCGCAGGGGUGGGGGUGGGGAAAAAGCUGAGGUUCAGCCCGAAAUCAGGGCAGGUCCCUGGUCAGGUCCCCCUUCCCUUCUCCCGGAGCCCGACCAGCCAGUGAUGAACGUAAGAAAUAAAAAGUUUUUGAGGCCUCACUUGCAACGUGCCAAGCAGUCAAAGAGUAUUUGAGGUAUUUAAGCCACAUGUUAAUUAGCAAAAGCCUCGGCCUCCUGAAAUGGUCUAAGACAGUGCUCAGCCUACGUUCAGAGAACUAUUUCCUGGAAACGUUCAAGAUAAAAAUGGAAGAAGCUUAGCAGCUAUCUCAAAAUCAGAUCUAUCGCCUGUUUAUGUUUUAGGGGAAAAAAUGAUACCCUUAACGAUACUCCUGUAAUAUUCACAAGAAGUGUACGUGCCAUAACAUUGUGAGGAAUUUUAUAUGCGUGCAAAUGGACAAGUAAAAUCAGGCAUGUACCGUUGGUGAUACAGGUCAGAGUCUCACCUUCUCAAAAAAGGCUUUCCAUUUGAUGUGAGGAAUACGUGCGGGAAUAUCCACCCUGGACUGUGGGUUUUCCGCUAUCAGCACCUGCUGAAAUGGUGCUACCAGAUUCUUAGAGCUUCUCAACCUCCUCUUCCAUCUCAGGCUGGCCGGCUACUCUUCUUCCACAGAGAAAAGUUUCCACUUUAGUUCAAGAACAAACAAACAUUUUUCUGUCACCAUCUCCUGCUAGAGAGAAUCCCUAAACCUGACAAGCACAUUUUCCAACAUAUGUAAUGUGAAAAUUAAAAUGAAGACAAUUUUGGAUGGUUUCGGUGUUUUGGUUCUUCACGGGAUAGCCUGAUUCCUUAGUUUGUUUUAGGUAAUAAUUUGCACAUUGUUUAAUUUGAAAAGAAAUAGCGGGCACAUUGACACCUACUUGAAACAAAUUGUAACUUAACAGCAUCAACAGGAGAGCUUAUUUCUUUUCCUAAAAAUGAUGUUAUCAUUUGUGUUUGAAAAAUAAAAAGAUGGCAAGGGAAUUCAUUGGACUCCUAGUGUGAAACGCUGUUUAAGGCAUAGAAGUAUGUUCAUUUAGGGUAGUAUGACACCUUCAUCGUGUUACUGGUGGUUAAUCAUGUAUUGUUCUUUAAAAAUUUAAUUGAAUGACAUGCCGGGUUGGUUUUUUUUUUUUUUUAACCUGUAUAUAUUUACAAACUGUGCAAGUUACCCACUGCUUGUAAGUCUAUGUAUUAAUACGAUGAUCGUGCAAGAAAUCCAGCUGUUUAAAUAAAUUCUGUUCUGCUUUAAAGAUUUUGCCCUUUGGGAAGAAAGUCAUUUAAGUAUUAAGUGACAGUGGCCAGCUAACAAUAGUUAAAAUGAAAAUAAAUCUUCCUGAAACUUAGUUCUAAUUUUCUUGAGCAAAAUACCAACCAUAAAAAAUAAACUCUGUUUAUCGAGCCA
This is a long non-coding RNA of Canis lupus familiaris (dog), 6569 nucleotides long. RefSeq lists it as uncharacterized. The transcript is spliced from 4 exons. NCBI's taxonomy places the organism in Eukaryota, Metazoa, Chordata, Mammalia, Carnivora, Canidae. The record is from RefSeq and is a predicted model, not a curated record.